GACGUAGGGCGCGAGCGUUGUCCGGAAUUAUUGGGCGUAAAGAGCUCGUAGGCGGUUUGUUGCGUCGGCUGUGAAAUCCCGAGGCUCAACCUCGGGUCUGCAGUCGAUACGAGCAAACUAGAGUGUUGCAGGGGAGACUGGAAUUCCUGGUGUAGCGGUGAAAUGCGCAGAUAUCAGGAGGGAACACCGGUGGCGAAGGCGGGUCUCUGGGCAACAACUGACGCUGGAGGAGCGAAAGCGUGGGGAGCGAACAGG
Molecule: ribosomal RNA, 255 nt
Filed under: uncultured bacterium
Lineage: Bacteria
Description: partial 16S ribosomal RNA
Rfam family: Bacterial small subunit ribosomal RNA
Source: RNAcentral